RNAcentral lists this unclassified non-coding RNA (253 nucleotides) under Hevea brasiliensis (rubber tree). Lineage: Eukaryota; Viridiplantae; Streptophyta; Magnoliopsida; Malpighiales; Euphorbiaceae. The record is from RNAcentral.
AUAUCUGCAACUCUGUGAACCACAGGGAACUGGUUCAGUUUAAUCCACACCUUUACAGAUUGGGUCAGGGUAAAGUGCUUAGACUCUCUGGCUGCAUAACGCACAGCAGCACGUGGUCCUCCAACGCUAGCCUCAUGCACAAGUCCUUGAGCCUUCUGUGAUGCUAUCUGUAACAAACUCUGCGCUUGACUCACGGCCUGCUUAGCAACAAGUGGAGCAUGGUUAUCAAACUUCCGUGUACCUUCAUAUACCU